GACGAACGCUGGCGGCGUGCCUAUUACAUGCAAGUUGAGCGCUGAAGGUUGGUACUUGUACCAACUGGAUGAGCAGCGAACGGGUGAGUAACGCGUGGGGAAUCUGCCUUUGAGCGGGGGACAACAUUUGGAAACGAAUGCUAAUACCGCAUAAAAACUUUAAACACAAGUUUUAAGUUUGAAAGAUGCAAUUGCAUCACUCAAAGAUGAUCCCGCGUUGUAUUAGCUAGUUGGUGAGGUAAAGGCUCACCAAGGCGAUGAUACAUAGCCGACCUGAGAGGGUGAUCGGCCACAUUGGGACUGAGACACGGCCCAAACUCCUACGGGAGGCAGCAGUAGGGAAUCUUCGGCAAUGGACGAAAGUCUGACCGAGCAACGCCGCGGGAGUGAAGAAGGUUUUCGGAUCGUAAAACUCUGUUGGUAGAGAAGAACGUUGGUGAGAGUGGAAAGCUCAUCAAGUGACGGUAACUACCCAGAAAGGGACGGCUAACUACGUG
This 497-nucleotide ribosomal RNA is filed under the name uncultured bacterium. RNAcentral describes it as "partial 16S ribosomal RNA". It matches the Rfam family "Bacterial small subunit ribosomal RNA", at positions 28 to 507 of the family's 1533-position model. The record is from RNAcentral.